This 259-nucleotide unclassified non-coding RNA is filed under the name plant metagenome. RNAcentral's name for it is "partial contains small subunit ribosomal RNA, internal transcribed spacer 1, and 5.8S ribosomal RNA". The record is from RNAcentral.
CGUAGGUGAACCUGCGGAAGGAUCAUUAUUGUAUAACCGAGGUGCGAGGGCUGUCGCUGACCCGAAAGGUCGUGCACGCCCGUGUGCCCUCACACACAUCCAUCUCACCCCUAUGUGCACCACCGCGUGGGUCCCCCUUUGGCUUGUUCGGAGGGGGGCUUACGUUUUCACACAAACUUUGUAUGCAGUGUAGAAUGUAUUUUUUGUUUUUGCGAUCACGCAAUCAAUACAACUUUCAACAACGGAUCUCUUGGCUCUC